GUCUUUUUGUUUUAAAUUUAAAGUCUGGCCUGCCCACUGAGGAAUUAAAUGGCCGCGAUAUUUUGAUCGUGCUAAGGUAGCAUAAUCAUUAGUUUUUUAAUUGAAAGCUAGAAUGAAGGGUUGGAUGAAAAGGGAGCUGUCUUAAUUUAAUUAAAAUAGAAUUUUAUUUUUAAGUUAAAAAGCUUAAAUAUUAUUAAAAGACGAGAAGACCCUAUAGAGUUUUAUAAUUAGUAAAUUUUAAAUUUUUAGAAUUUAAUUUAUAAUAUUUAUUUAAUUAUUUAAUUGGGGUGAUUAAAAAAAUUAGUUAACUUUUUUAUAUUAUUAUAUAAUUAUAUAAAUUUUUGAUCCAAUUAUUUUGAUUAAAAGAAAUAAUUACCUUAGGGAUAACAGCGUAAUUUUACUGGAGAGUUCAAAUUAAUAGUAAAGAUUGCGACCUCGAUGUUGGAUUAAAGUUUAUAUUUGGUGUAGAAGCUAAAUUAUUAAGUCUGUUCGCACUUUUAAAAU
This 504-nucleotide ribosomal RNA is filed under the name Jacobyanella hexaspilota. Its description in RNAcentral is "partial 16S ribosomal RNA". The record is from RNAcentral. Lineage: Eukaryota; Metazoa; Arthropoda; Insecta; Coleoptera; Chrysomelidae.